This 454-nucleotide ribosomal RNA is filed under the name uncultured bacterium. Its description in RNAcentral is "bacterial SSU rRNA". It matches the Rfam family "Bacterial small subunit ribosomal RNA", at positions 213 to 664 of the family's 1533-position model. The record is from RNAcentral.
UUUCGGUUGUCGAUGGGGAUGCGUUCCAUUAGGCAGUUGGCGGGGUAACGGCCCACCAAACCAACGAUGGAUAGGGGUUCUGAGAGGAAGGUCCCCCACAUUGGAACUGAGACACGGUCCAAACUCCUACGGGAGGCAGCAGUGAGGAAUAUUGGUCAAUGGACGAGAGUCUGAACCAGCCAAGUAGCGUGAAGGAUGACUGCCCUAUGGGUUGUAAACUUCUUUUAUACGGGAAUAAAGUGAGCCACGUGUGGCUUUUUGUAUGUACCGUAUGAAUAAGGAUCGGCUAACUCCGUGCCAGCAGCCGCGGUAAUACGGAGGAUCCGAGCGUUAUCCGGAUUUAUUGGGUUUAAAGGGAGCGUAGGCGGGUUGUUAAGUCAGUUGUGAAAGUUUGCGGCUCAACCGUAAAAUUGCAGUUGAUACUGGCGACCUUGAGUGCAACAGAGGUAGGCGG